GACGAACGCUGGCGGCGUGCUUAACACAUGCCAGUCGAACGAUGAAGCGGGUGCUUGCACUCGUGGAUUAGUGGCGAACGGGCGAGUAACACGUGAGUAACCUGUCCUUUUCUUUGGGAUAACGGCUGGAAACGGCUGCUAAUACUGGAUAUUCAGGCUGCAUCGCAUGGUGUGGUUUGGAAAGGUUUUUUCUGGGAUUGGGUGGGCUCGCGGCCUAUCAGCUUGUUGGUGGGGUGAUGGCUUACCAAGGCUUUGACGGGUAGCCGGCCUGAGAGGGUGGUCGGUGGCACUGGGACUGAGAUACGGCCCAGACUCCUACGGGAGGCAGCAGUGGGGAAUAUUGCAACAUGGAAGAAAGUUUGAUGCCGCGGCGCCGCGUGGAGGGUGUAGGCCUUCGGGUUGUGAACUCCUUUUUCUCGCGAAAAAGGCACAGUUUUGGCUGUGUUGAUGGUAGUGGGGGAAGAAGCGCCGGCUAACUACGUG
This 483-nucleotide ribosomal RNA is filed under the name uncultured bacterium. RNAcentral describes it as "partial 16S ribosomal RNA". It matches the Rfam family "Bacterial small subunit ribosomal RNA", at positions 28 to 507 of the family's 1533-position model. The record is from RNAcentral.